UUCAUUUCAGUUGGCACUUGGCCGUGCAGCAGGCGUUUCAUUUUUCUCAUCCUCCCAAGUAUUUCUAUUUCUUCCCAGCUAAUCAUUAUCCUAUAUUUCAAUUCUAUUGCUAAUUUUCUCAGUUAAUUCUGUUUUAUUGAUUUGAUUACGCUACCGCUCUCUGUGCCUGUGCUGAUUCUCAAUUUCCACUCAAAAUUCUCUUUUAUGCGAACGUGUCAGUGUGUUUGAUCAUUGUCUUUGAGGCGUGAGCUUAACUCCUCUCGAUCUAAGUCCAGGAAUAAUUAACCGUAAAAUACAUGUAUUAGUGCAGCUAGAAACCCUGAUUCCAUCUACUUUCUUCUUUGUUUAUUCAAUUUUACUUUCAUUAUCGUUGUUUGUACAUUUGUAUACGAUGUAUUUCUGUGGAAUUGCUGCAGAAUGUACUUCUCCCUGUGUUAUCUGUAUGUCACCUACAUGGUAAUUUUUCUGACAUGAAAACGUUCCAACAUCUGUAAUUCACACUUACCAUUUGAAGUUAACUACAAAUACAUAAAUUUACUAUUUUCAUUUCCUCUUUUUGUUAUGGCCUAUCUAAUGCUCUCUCUGUCCCAAGCUAGUUGAUCUACAUUUCUUUAGGGCACGGGGUAAUUGAUGUUAAUUGAUGUUUAAAGGUUAAAUGGAGAGAGAAUAAAGUAGGAAAUAUAUUAAAGUAAGUGAGAGAGAGAGAGAAUAAAGGAAGAAAGGAUAAAGCUUUUGCAAAAAGAAGAAAUGGAACUAGCUUGGGACAACCCAAACUGGAAUAUGUAGCAAGUAGCUUGGGACAAAUGACGUAGUUGUUGUUAUGCGGAGAAGUUUGCAAUAGGUUUGUAUAUACCAGUCUGCACUCUGCAACUGACUUCACAUCCUCAUUGUUGGUAGGGUUAGCGUUAAUAAGACAGGAAAAAUAUGUUUUAUUUUAUCUGAAAUGGCACUUAUCCUGACUGUUAAUUCCCACUGUGAUGCUUGAGUAUUAACUAUUUAGAAUUCUAUGCUUAAAUGAUCGAGCUCGUCUUGUAUAUUUAAAAUGUAUUUGGUUUAAUGCUUUUUCUAGGAUGACCGUUCCUCAAGUACCCAAGAUCUAUCCCAAUCUAGCAAAUUAAGUGUAUCAUCACAUGUAUCGGUCCAUAUAUGAGGCCUUCAUGCUUAUCAACAUCCGUAUAAUGCCAUCAACAACAACAUCUUCUUUGCUAACCUAGAAGGCAACUGGAACCUUAUUCCCCCUCAUUUGGUAUAUUGUAAGGCCAAGUAUGUCUGGUGACCGGACUUUCGUAGACGGGGACGCUUCCUCUGGGUCUGGCGAGGAAGCAAACAUGUUAGAUAGCCAGAAUAAACACCAUACCACGAUUCCGCACUCAGGGCAGCACAAGAGAAGCCGCAAAGCAACAGGUGAUGCUAUUGUGGAUGCUAUGUUGGAGAUAGCUGCAGCUUCAAAGAUGAGAGCUGCUGCAAUCAUGAGAAAUGAGGAGCGUUUCACCAUAAGCAAAUGCAUAAAAAUAUUGGAUGAGAUGCAAGGUGUUGAUCAAACUGUAUACUUUUUUGCUUUGGAUUUAUUUGAAAAUCCCUCAGCAAGAGAAACUUUCGUAUCUCUUAAAAGGGAGAGGCGAUUAGUAUGGAUGCAGGGGAAGUUUAGAGCAUCCACAAGUUCAGCAGCAUGACUAGGUUGAUUUAUUUUCCAACUUGUUUCUUUUCUGCACAUUUUUGCAAUCAGGCAUAUUCUCUACAAAAUGUGUACCAACUCUAGCAAUGCUUUUCUGAAUGUGGCCCAUGUACUUAGCUUGAUUUUUUGGUCAGAGAUGCUAUGCGGAAAUGCUUGAUGGUUUAUAUGUUUUUCCUGGCA
This is an RNA transcript of Salvia splendens (bonfire salvia), 1855 nucleotides long. RefSeq lists it as uncharacterized. The transcript is spliced from 2 exons. NCBI's taxonomy places the organism in Eukaryota, Viridiplantae, Streptophyta, Magnoliopsida, Lamiales, Lamiaceae. The record is from RefSeq and is a predicted model, not a curated record.